Molecule: ribosomal RNA, 253 nt
Filed under: uncultured bacterium
Lineage: Bacteria
Description: partial 16S ribosomal RNA
Rfam family: Bacterial small subunit ribosomal RNA
Source: RNAcentral
UACGAAGGGGGCUAGCGUUGUUCGGAAUUACUGGGCGUAAAGGGCGCGUAGGCGGUGUGUCAAGUCAGGCGUGAAAGCCCCGGGCUCAACCUGGGAACAGCGCUUGAGACUGGCACGCUCGAGUGCGGGAGAGGAUGGUGGAAUUCCCAGUGUAGAGGUGAAAUUCGUAGAUAUUGGGAAGAACACCGAUGGCGAAGGCAGCCAUCUGGACCGACACUGACGCUGAGGCGCGAAAGCGUGGGGAGCAAACAGG